Molecule: ribosomal RNA, 591 nt
Filed under: uncultured bacterium
Lineage: Bacteria
Description: bacterial SSU rRNA
Rfam family: Bacterial small subunit ribosomal RNA
Source: RNAcentral
CCUACGGGGAGGCAGCAGUAGGGAAUCUUCGGCAAUGGACGCAAGUCUGACCGAGCAACGCCGCGUGAGUGAAGAAGGUUUUUCGGAUCGUAAAACUCUGUUGUAAGAGAAGAACGUUGAUGAGAGUGGAAAGUUCAUCAAGUGACGGUAUCUUACCAGAAAGCCACGGCUAACUACGUGCCAGCAGCCGCGGUAAUACGUAGGUGGCAAGCGUUGUCCGGAUUUAUUGGGCGUAAAGCGAGCGCAGGCGGUUGAUUAAGUCUGAUGUGAAAGCCCCCGGCUCAACCGGGGAGGGUCAUUGGAAACUGGUCAACUUGAGUGCAGAAGAGGAGAGUGGAAUUCCAUGUGUAGCGGUGAAAUGCGUAGAUAUAUGGAGGAACACCAGUGGCGAAGGCGGCUCUCUGGUCUGUAACUGACGCUGAGGCUCGAAAGCGUGGGGAGCGAACAGGAUUAGAUACCCUGGUAGUCCACGCCGUAAACGAUGAGUGCUAAGUGUUGGAGGGUUUCCGCCCUUCAGUGCUGCAGCUAACGCAUUAAGCACUCCGCCUGGGGAGUACGACCGCAAGGUGAAACUCAAAUGAAUUGACGGGG